CUGGGUGCUGCACCUGCCCGGCCCUGCCCGGCCCUGCCCGGCCCUGCCCCGGAGAGAAGGCCCCCAGCUCCUGCGCGCAAACUGGAGAAGGGUGCCUCACCUGAACCCGAAGCACCCGAAGACAACCCGUUCCGGUGCAGAGGCGUAGAGGAUGUGCUGCUUAGCGAUGGGGAAUAUAUAGCAGCGAUGCCACCUUCCUUUGCAACCUGAAUACAGGGGCACAAGGAAGCUCGACCUGUGCGAAAUGGCUGUCUUCAUCCCCAACUCCAAACCUCAGGGUAAUCGUAGAUUGGCAACAAUGUCCCAGCCCCUCAAGAACCCUGUGCAAAGAAAGGCAUGAAGCUCAACUUUCACCUCUGCCAAGAAAGAAAGCCUCUCACUGAAGCUCCCAGGAUUGGAGAGUGUUCUUAGGAGAACCAGCCCCUGCCAGGAGACAAGAAUGGUUUAUUUUGACGACAACAUCCUCACACGUGUGUCCCUGCAUAUCCGGUACCCUGGCUGUGUGUCAGUUUCUUGCUCAGGGAAGCUGUCAUUGGGAUUCUGUGGGGGGAAAUGUUCCAAAGGAAUCAAUUAAUGUUGCCAGCAACAAGUUCAAUACCACGCACUGAGUCCCCCUGCUUUAUAUCAGUGCAUGAAUGAAUUACUGGUGCUCAUAUAAUUUGCAAAUAAUCAUCAUUAUAAUGCAGUGGAAAAUUUCUCUUGUGCAGGUAGCCUAGGUAGCAUCUAAGCAGAGAGCUGCAAUACCUCUCCCCAUUACACCCCCUAAAAUAAUUACUUACAUACAUAUGUGAGGUUUUACUUCCAGGUCUUUUAAUAUAGAACUAUCUAUGUGGACACAAGGUCACCUCUUGUUCUCAUUAAACCAAUCUGAACAAAGUGUGAUAAUUCUUAAGGGAAAUCAACGCUGAAAAUGCUUUUGACUUUUUGGAGACAUGGGCAGAAUACAUCAUCAGGUUAGGCUCAGCAUGCAACAGUUCUAAACUCCAGAUAUGGCAUCUAUCUGCUCAUGUU
Long non-coding RNA from Ailuropoda melanoleuca (giant panda), 1011 nucleotides. RefSeq lists it as uncharacterized. The transcript has 3 exons. The record is from RefSeq and is a predicted model, not a curated record. NCBI's taxonomy places the organism in Eukaryota, Metazoa, Chordata, Mammalia, Carnivora, Ursidae.